Molecule: long non-coding RNA, 2062 nt
Filed under: Panax ginseng (ginseng)
Lineage: Eukaryota; Viridiplantae; Streptophyta; Magnoliopsida; Apiales; Araliaceae
Description: long non-coding RNA (PGIN_LNC012497)
Source: RNAcentral
CAAUUAGUUUGGUGGCACCAUACCUCCCACAAGCUUAAUACUACAUAGAAAAUAUAUAUAUUGUGACAAAAACAUGUUGAAACACACAAGUAAUUAACCAUAUACUUGUAUUAAUUUACAAAUUAUGCCAUUAUGUUUACCACCAACAAGAGUCGAAAUGUUUUCGUUCGCAGUAUAUAGAAUUUUUACUAUAUUUCCCCUUCAAAUGUGCAUAUAUUCCAAAAGUAUUGUAUAAACCAUUUCGAUAUAUUUCCAACCAAAUAUGCAUAAUCCAGAAGUAAAACCCAUUUUUGCAAAACAAUAUUUCAUCAUAAUAAGAUGUGGAUACCCAAUGUCCUCAUCUACCAUUCUUCUUAUCUUCUUGCUCAAGGAGGUUAAACUAGGACAGAAUCUCCUUACCAGAGAUACGAACAUUAAUCCACAUCUUCACAUAUCUACAGUACAGAACAACCAUCACGGACAGAUAUGAAGGGAGCAAUUGGUUAACAUAUCCGAACCAACACAAUUUACAGUAAGAAAAAAGUCAUAACUAAAGAAAACGAAAGCUCGUUCAUUCCAAGGUUUUAAGNNNNNNNNNNNNNNNNNNNNNNNNNNNNNNNNNNNNNNNNNNNNNNNNNNNNNNNNNNNNNNNNNNNNNNNNNNNNNNNNNNNNNNNNNNNNNNNNNNNNAGAAGUUUAAUAUUUUAUGGAACUAAAAUUUUUACAUGUUUUGUUAUAUGCAUCUAAAUCACACCCAAAAUACUGUAUUAUGUAAAAAUUUUAGUUCUAUAAAAUAUUAAACUUUUUUUUUUAGUAGUGUUAAAAAAAAAGCAAAAAAAAAAAGAGACCAUUUUAGUAGCGUUCGGGAGUCCGGACUGAAACCGAACUAUAUAUAUAUAUAUAUAUUGUGACAAAAACAUGUUGAAACACACAAGUAAUUAACCAUAUACUUGUAAUAAUUUACAAAUUAUGCCAUUAUGUCUACUACCAACAAGAGUCGAAAUGUUUUCGUUCGCAAUAAAUAGAAUUUUUACUAUAUUUCCCCUUCAAAUAUGCAUUUUCCAAAAGUAUGUAAAACCCAUUUCGAUAUAUUUCCAACCAAAUAUGCAUAAUCCAGUAGUAUGUAAAACCCAUAUGAAGGGAGCAUUACAUAUCUACAGUACAGAACAACCAUCACGGUCAGAUAUGAAGGGAGCAAUUGGUUAACAUAUCUGAACCAACACAAUUUACAGUAAGAAAAAAGUCGUAACUAAAGAAAACGAAAGCUCGUUCAUUCCAAGGUUUUAAGCAGCCUAAACAAGCCAGCUGCCUCCCUAAUCCUUGAGAACUCGAUACAGAAGGCUUGCACUUCUAUGAAAAGAUCAUGAACUGCAAUGCACAACCCCAUUUGGAAAUUGUUAGUAAAUUUGCAACUACAAUCAUUCUCACGACACAGUUCAUUUUCCUUUAUUUAAAGGCGGUAUUAGCAUAAUUGCCAUCUAGAUUUUCAAGGUGGAGAGUAAAUCUGUAAAUGAUUGUGAUACGAAAUAUUAAAUUUCAUUUAACAGUCGGAUAACAUAUAAAUUUCCUGGUUCCAAGUUUUCACAAUAUCGUUUAAAGUAGUUCCUUAAUGAGCAUCAGAACUGAUGAUUCAAUUAAUUGCCAAACUGACUCUUAAUGAUUAAUACAUGUUGCUUCAACUUUAUCAACAAGUAGCCAGUUAAAGGAAUCUAAUAAUUACUCCAUAUCCACUAGCAAACAGAGUUUGAUAAGGCGUUUCUUGUUUUCCACUUAACACAUAAUUUAGCAUCUGUACAUACUGAUUAGGUAAGGUGCAUGUGAUUGCCUCAAAUUAUCUCUUAUUUUCAAUUGUCAGUUACUAGACGGGGAAUAGUUCACAAUGCCUAGAGUAGUCAAAAGUUGUACUUUGAGAUAUUACAAGAUCUAACAAACUGCAUGGAGAAACAUGCUCCAUUCAUGUACGGCUUUGUGCCAGGAAUCUUAUCCUAUACACUUCCUCGAUGCUCUUGCCUUUUUCUGCUCAGAUACUUGCAUGUACCAUACAUGUAAUUGGGAUUUUAAACAGAGUAAUAAGUAGAAUGCCU